RNAcentral lists this ribosomal RNA (673 nucleotides) under Salmonella enterica subsp. enterica serovar Typhimurium. RNAcentral describes it as "partial 23S ribosomal RNA". It matches the Rfam family "Bacterial large subunit ribosomal RNA", at positions 566 to 1190 of the family's 2925-position model. The record is from RNAcentral. Lineage: Bacteria; Pseudomonadati; Pseudomonadota; Gammaproteobacteria; Enterobacterales; Enterobacteriaceae.
CAAAGCAGCAUCGCGGUGGCGGAGCGUCGUUUGCGACGCCCAACACACAAAACAAGCGGUGAAUGCUUUGGGGUGGGGUGACUGCGUACCUUUUGUAUAAUGGGUCAGCGACUUAUAUUCUGUAGCAAGGUUAACCGAAUAGGGGAGCCGGAGGGAAACCGAGUCUUAAUUGGGCGUUAAGUUGCAGGGUAUAGACCCGAAACCCGGUGAUCUAGCCAUGGGCAGGUUGAAGGUUGGGUAACACUAACUGGAGGACCGAACCGACUAAUGUUGAAAAAUUAGCGGAUGACCUGUGGCUGGGGGUGAAAGGCCAAUCAAACCGGGAGAUAGCUGGUUCUCCCCGAAAGCUAUUUAGGUAGCGCCUCGUGAAUUCAUCUCCGGGGGUAGAGCACUGUUUCGGCUAGGGGGCCAUCCCGGCUUACCAACCCGAUGCAAACUGCGAAUACCGGAGAAUGUUAUCACGGGAGACACACGGCGGGUGCUAACGUCCGUCGUGAAGAGGGAAACAACCCAGACCGCCAGCUAAGGUCCCAAAGUCAUGGUUAAGUGGGAAACGAUGUGGGAAGGCCCAGACAGCCAGGAUGUUGGCUUAGAAGCAGCCAUCAUUUAAAGAAAGCGUAAUAGCUCACUGGUCGAGUCGGCCUGCGCGGAAGAUGUAACGGGGCUAAACCAU